RNAcentral lists this ribosomal RNA (449 nucleotides) under uncultured bacterium. RNAcentral's name for it is "bacterial SSU rRNA". It matches the Rfam family "Bacterial small subunit ribosomal RNA", at positions 328 to 794 of the family's 1533-position model. The record is from RNAcentral.
UUUCCAGACUCCUACGGGAGGCAGCAGUGGGGAAUAUUGCACAAUGGGGGAAACCCUGAUGCAGCGACGCCGCGUGAGUGAAGAAGUAAUUCGUUAUGUAAAGCUCUAUCAGCAGGGAAGAAAAUGACGGUACCUGAGUAAGAAGCCCCGGCUAACUACGUGCCAGCAGCCGCGGUAAUACGUAGGGGGCAAGCGUUGUCCGGAUUUACUGGGUGUAAAGGGCGUGUAGCCGGGCUUACAAGUCAGAUGUGAAAUCCGGGGGCUCAACCCCCGAACUGCAUUUGAAACUGUAGGUCUUGAGUAUCGGAGAGGCAGGCGGAAUUCCUAGUGUAGCGGUGAAAUGCGUAGAUAUUAGGAGGAACACCAGUGGCGAAGGCGGCCUGCUGGACGACAACUGACGGUGAGGCGCGAAAGCGUGGGGAGCAAACAGGAUUAGAUACCCCCGUACA